AUACGGAGGAUCCGAGCGUUAUCCGGAUUUAUUGGGUUUAAAGGGUGCGCAGGCGGGAGAUUAAGUCGGCGGUGAAAUUUUUCCGCUCAACCGUAAAAGUGCCUUCGAAACUGGUUUCCUUUAGUGUAGAUGAAGUAGGCGGAAUUUGUGGUGUAGCGGUGAAAUGCAUAGAUAUCACGAGGAACUCCGAUUGCGCAGGCAGCUUACUAAACUACUACUGACGCUCAGGCACGAAGGCGUGGGGAUCAAACAGGAUUAGAUACCCUGGUAGUCCACGCAGUAAACGAUGAUUACUAGCUGUUUGCGAUACAAUGUAAGCGGCUGAGCGAAAGCGUUAAGUAAUCCACCUGGGGAGUACGCCGGCAACGGUGAAACUCAAAUGAAUUGGCGGGG
RNAcentral lists this ribosomal RNA (393 nucleotides) under uncultured bacterium. Its description in RNAcentral is "partial 16S ribosomal RNA". It matches the Rfam family "Bacterial small subunit ribosomal RNA", at positions 523 to 918 of the family's 1533-position model. The record is from RNAcentral.